This 514-nucleotide ribosomal RNA is filed under the name uncultured bacterium. RNAcentral's name for it is "bacterial SSU rRNA". It matches the Rfam family "Bacterial small subunit ribosomal RNA", at positions 15 to 518 of the family's 1533-position model. The record is from RNAcentral.
GAUUCUGGCUCAGGAUGAACGCUAGCUACAGGCUUAACACAUGCAAGUCGAGGGGCAGCAUGGAGUUGCUUGCAAACUCUGAUGGCGACCGGCGCACGGGUGAGUAACGCGUAUCCAACCUUCCCUAUAGUAGAGGAUAGCCCGGCGAAAGUCGGAUUAAUACUCUAUGUUUUCCGUUGCAGACAUCUAAGAUGGAACAAAGGCUUGCCGCUAUAGGAUGGGGAUGCGUCUGAUUAGGUAGUCGGCGGGGUAACGGCCCACCGAGCCAUCGAUCAGUAGGGGUUCUGAGAGGAAGGCCCCCCACAUUGGAACUGAGACACGGUCCAAACUCCUACGGGAGGCAGCAGUGAGGAAUAUUGGUCAAUGGGCGAGAGCCUGAACCAGCCAAGUAGCGUGCCAGGAUGACGGCCCUAUGGGUUGUAAACUGCUUUUAUGCGGGGAUAAAGUUCACUACGUGUAGUGUUUUGUAGGUACCGCAUGAAUAAGGACCGGCUAAUUCCGUGCCAGCAGCUGC